GGAGGUUUUGCUUGCUGAUCAGUGUGCCAGGACUCAAGGUCAAGAGAAGUGGCAGACACACACACACAUUUAGGUUUAUACAGGGUUCAGUGCUGUUUUUUGGUGUGAAUGCAUUUCCCUGUGAUUUAAAGUGCUUCAGAAGGCAGGAAGGGCUGUUGGUAGCUGCACUCCAUAAAAGGUAUUUUGCUGAAUUACACUGACUGGGCAGAUCACCUAGAGCUCAGCAGCCUCCGACAGACCCUGAAGGCUCCAGGAGCUUUUGUGGAAAGAACCGACAGAGAGA
Long non-coding RNA from Electrophorus electricus (electric eel), 283 nucleotides. The record is from Ensembl. Lineage: Eukaryota; Metazoa; Chordata; Actinopteri; Gymnotiformes; Gymnotidae.